GAUGAACGCUGGCGGCGUGCCUAAUACAUGCGAGUCGAGCGAACAGAUGAGGAGCUUGCUCCUUUGACGUUAGCGGCGGACGGGUGAGUAACACGUGGGUAACCUACCUAUAAGACUGGGAUAACUUCGGGAAACCGGAGCUAAUACAGGAUAACAUUUGGAACCGCAUGGUUCUACAGUGAAAGAUGGUUUUGCUAUCCCUUAUAGAUGGACCCGCGCCGUAUUAGCUAGUUGGUAAGGUAACGGCUUACCAAGGCAACGAUACGUAGCCGACCUGAGAGGGUGAUCGGCCACACUGGAACUGAGACACGGUCCAGACUCCUACGGGAGGCAGCAGUAGGGAAUCUUCCGCAAUGGGCGAAAGCCUGACGGAGCAACGCCGCGUGAGUGAUGAAGGGUUUCGGAUCGUAAAACUCUGUUAUUAGGGAAGAACGAACGUGUAAGUAACUGUGCACGUCUUGACGUUACCUAAUCAGAAAGCCACGGCUAACUACGUG
This 497-nucleotide ribosomal RNA is filed under the name uncultured bacterium. RNAcentral's name for it is "partial 16S ribosomal RNA". It matches the Rfam family "Bacterial small subunit ribosomal RNA", at positions 28 to 507 of the family's 1533-position model. The record is from RNAcentral.